This is an RNA transcript of Sorex fumeus (smoky shrew), 986 nucleotides long. It is a transcript of the gene named MORN repeat containing 3, with no coding region annotated. The record is from RefSeq and is a predicted model, not a curated record. Lineage: Eukaryota; Metazoa; Chordata; Mammalia; Eulipotyphla; Soricidae. The transcript has 7 exons.
GGCCGGGCCCGCGUUGCCCUGGCGACCCGCGACGCUGGAGCGAGCCGGCCGCCGUUUGGGCGACCCCAGCGCCGAGGACGCAGACCCCGAGUUGAGCUUCCGCCGCGCGGCAGUAGGCGGCGGCAUGCCGGUGACCAAGUGCCCACAGAAGUCGCUGCCCCUGUGGAAGGAGUGGGACCGCAAGGCGCAGAGGAAUGGCAUCCGCCACCAGGUGUACGCCGUCAACGGCGACCGCUACCUGGGCGAGUGGAAGGACAACCUGAAACACGGAAAAGGAACACAAAUCUGGAAGAAAGGUGCCAUCUAUGAGGGGGACUGGAAGUUUGGAAAGCGAGAUGGCUAUGGGACCCUCAGCCUUCCUGAGAAAGAGACUGGAAGGUACAGGAGAGUAUACUCGGGCUGGUGGAAAGGUGACAAGAAAUCGGGCUACGGCAUCCAGUUCUUUGGACCCAAGGAGUACUACGAGGGUGAGUGGUGUGGCAACCGACGCACUGGGUGGGGCCGCAUGUACUACAGCAACGGAGACAUCUACGAAGGCCAGUGGUACGACGACAAGCCCGAAGGGGAGGGCAUGUUGCGGCUGAAGAAUGGAAACCGCUAUGAGGGCCAGUGGGAGAAAGGCAUGAAGAACGGGAAGGGCCGUUUCUUCCACCUGGACCGCGGACAGCUGUUCGAAGGUUUCUGGGUGGACGACGUGGCCAAGUGUGGCACCAUGAUCGACUUUGGCCGCGAUGAAGCCCCCAAGCCCACACAGUUCCCCAUUCCUGAGAUCAAACUUGCAGACCCCGACGGCGUGCUGGAGGAAGCCCUGGCCCAGUUCACGAAAGCACAGGAAGGAGAGAGUGAAUCGGGUGUGUAGCCCAGCAGGACUGCGGACACACAGGCUUCGCACUGACGCAGCCCAGCAGCUCGCCUCGGGCCAGUGAACCUGGAGCUUCAGGAGAAAACCAGCUGGUGUCACCAACCACUCAGACUGGCAUGGUCCC